AGCGAACGCUGGCGGCAGGCUUAACACAUGCAAGUCGAGCGGGCAUCUUCGGGUGUUAGCGGCGGACGGGUGAGUAACGCGUGGGAACGUGCCUUCUGGUUCGGAAUAACUCAGGGAAACUUGAGCUAAUACCGGAUACGCCCUUUUGGGGAAAGGUUUACUGCCGGAAGAUCGGCCCGCGUCUGAUUAGCUAGUUGGUGGGGUAACGGCCUACCAAGGCGACGAUCAGUAGCUGGUCUGAGAGGAUGAUCAGCCACACUGGGACUGAGACACGGCCCAGACUCCUACGGGAGGCAGCAGUGGGGAAUAUUGGACAAUGGGGGCAACCCUGAUCCAGCCAUGCCGCGUGAGUGAUGAAGGCCUUAGGGUUGUAAAGCUCUUUUAUCCGGGACGAUAAUGACGGUACCGGAGGAAUAAGCCCCGGCUAACUUCGUGCCAGCAGCCGCCGUAA
This 451-nucleotide ribosomal RNA is filed under the name uncultured bacterium. RNAcentral describes it as "partial 16S ribosomal RNA". It matches the Rfam family "Bacterial small subunit ribosomal RNA", at positions 29 to 523 of the family's 1533-position model. The record is from RNAcentral.